ACACUGCCCGAUAGAGGAACCUGCGAGCGAGAGAGAGAGAGAGAGGAGCGCGAGAGCAAGAGAGAGGCGAGGGCGCGAGAGAAAGCGAGAAACUGAGAGAUGGCGAGAGGUGUGCGGGAGAGAGCGACAAACAGAGAGAGAGAUAGCGAGAGCUGUGCGGGAGAGAGAAGUGUAGUAGUAGGGUUUGGGUUAGCUUUAGCAAAAAGUAAAAAGGGGGUGAGCUUAUAACCUACUGUGCUAGAGGAUUAAUAUCAACCUUUGGAUCUGAGAGUUGUAGGAUAUACACCCAAGGAGAUAUGUCCAGAUAGACUUUUCCUUCUUAUAAGUACUCUUUCACAGCCAACCUCUCUCCCACGCUCUUAUUUUCCCUCCAACUCUCCCUCUACUUACUCUUUCUAAAAAGGGGGAAAGAAAACCUAGAGCCACCCUCGUGGGAUCUUGGAGCUCCACCAUAUUGUCGGCUUGUAGCAAAGUUGUAAAUAGCAGAUAGCGGGUAUAUAACGUUUGGAGAGUUUCAUAUCGAAAAGCAGAUAGCGGGCGCCAUAACGAGCAAUAUGAACCCAUAGCGGGUUUUAUAAAAACAAAUUUAAUAUGUUUAUAUAUAUU
RNAcentral lists this long non-coding RNA (606 nucleotides) under Ananas comosus (pineapple). RNAcentral's name for it is "long non-coding RNA (ACOM_LNC019725)". The record is from RNAcentral. Lineage: Eukaryota; Viridiplantae; Streptophyta; Magnoliopsida; Poales; Bromeliaceae.